GAUGAACGCUGGCGGCGUGCCUAAUACAUGCAAGUCGAGCGAACAGACGCGGAGCUUGCUCCUUUGACGUUAGCGGCGGACGGGUGAGUAACACGUGGAUACCCUACCUAUAAGACUGGGAUAACUUCGGGAAACCGGAGCUAAUCCCGGAUAACAUGUUGAACCGCAUGGUUCAACAGUGAAAUACGGUCUUGCUGUCACUUCUCGAUGGAUCCGCGCCGCAUUAGCUAGUUGGUACGUUCACGGGCUACCAAGGCAACGAUGCGUAACCGACCUGAGAGAGGGGUCGGCCACACGGGAGCGUAGACACGGACCAGGCGACUGCGGGAGGCAGCAGUAGGGAAUCUUCCGCAAUGGGCGAGAGCCUGACGGAGCAACGGCGCGCGAGUGAAAGAGGUCUUCCGAUCGGAAAACUCUGUUACGAGUGAAGAACAAAUGUGGAAGUAAACAAGCACGUAGUGACGGUACCGAAUCAAAAAGCCCCGGCUAACUACGUG
Molecule: ribosomal RNA, 497 nt
Filed under: uncultured bacterium
Lineage: Bacteria
Description: partial 16S ribosomal RNA
Rfam family: Bacterial small subunit ribosomal RNA
Source: RNAcentral